This is a long non-coding RNA of Labeo rohita (rohu), 681 nucleotides long. RefSeq lists it as uncharacterized. The transcript is spliced from 3 exons. Lineage: Eukaryota; Metazoa; Chordata; Actinopteri; Cypriniformes; Cyprinidae. The record is from RefSeq and is a predicted model, not a curated record.
CUAAACUCUGCAGGGACACUGGCCCUCCAGGACCGAGUUUCAGAGCCUCAAGUCUGUUUGAACUCUCAAUCUGGCGGCACCCAUUUACUGCAGAGGAUCCAUUGAAGGGCAAGUGAUAUAAUGUAAAAUUUCUACAAAUCUGUUGUGUUGAAGAGACAAGCUCAUCUACAAUCUGGACAGCUUGCAAGAGAUGAGCACAGAUGAGCUUUUAGACAAUGCAUACACAGGAAACGGACUGGGCGCGUAUGCACGUGAUGACAUCAUGACACCCGCACGUCACACAACAAAACUUUACAAACAAAACUGACGACUUGAAUCUAUUUUAUGGAGCUCAAAAUAAUUUAGACCGAGUUGCUUUUUGGACAUUCAUCUCCAGUGGGUCUUUACUUUGGACGUUUUUUGUUGGUUCUCGGACACUCUGGUACUGUGUUUUACUGAUUCAGUGUUUUGCUUUGAUGCCUUACAUACUGAUGUAUUUUUUUUCUGUAUUGAACCGCAUUUAAAAUGGAGCUGAGCUAGGUAAUAAAUGUCCUAUUAUUAAUGUUUCUGAAGAACAGAUCUAAAGAUGAAUGGAUUUAAUGUUAAAGCAUGCAGAAAUCAGAUUCAGAGCCCUUGUAAAGCUUGACUGUAGGCUAUGAUGAUUAUUAUUAUUGUUUAUUUUAUUUUUGUAAAAUAUAAUUU